GGGGCAGAGAUGUGCUGCAGUUAAAACGAGCUUGUGAACCGCGGAGGACAGCUGCAUUUUGAGGCUCUAGUUGCACCUGAGCGGCCACUCCUGCAGUGCAAAACACAUGCAACAAAUUCAUAUAGUGACAGGGGCCGGCAAGCUCUGAAAAAAGUAAGAAAGUCAUACCAUUUUGGAACAACACAAGGUUUGAGGCGAUAAGCUUCAUCACAAAAGAAAAGUUGGUCAGCCAUGAUGAUUGUCUAAGAAAGAUGCAUGUCUAAGGAGUGUCUUGGAACUGUUAAGGCAAUCUCCAUUGUGAUACUCGAUCACAGCAGGUUUCUAACUGCUGCUCACUGGAUCUUUUUUGUUUUUGGCACCAUUUGGAGUAAAUUCUACAGAAUGUUGUGUGUGAAAAUCCCAGCCCAUCUGGCACCAACAAUCAUGCCACGGUCCAAA
This is a long non-coding RNA of Myxocyprinus asiaticus (Chinese sucker), 438 nucleotides long. RefSeq lists it as uncharacterized. NCBI's taxonomy places the organism in Eukaryota, Metazoa, Chordata, Actinopteri, Cypriniformes, Catostomidae. The transcript is spliced from 4 exons. The record is from RefSeq and is a predicted model, not a curated record.